Molecule: ribosomal RNA, 696 nt
Filed under: uncultured Alphaproteobacteria bacterium
Lineage: Bacteria; Pseudomonadati; Pseudomonadota; Alphaproteobacteria
Description: bacterial SSU rRNA
Rfam family: Bacterial small subunit ribosomal RNA
Source: RNAcentral
UACCUUAUACGCCCUUUGGGGGAAAGAUUUAUCGGAGGAGGAUUAGCCCGCGUUAGAUUAGGUAGUUGGUGGGGUAAUGGCCUACCAAGCCUACGAUCUAUAGCUGGUUUGAGAGGAUGAUCAGCCACACUGGGACUGAGACACGGCCCAGACUCCUACGGGAGGCAGCAGUAGGGAAUCUUAGACAAUGGGGGCAACCCUGAUCUAGCCAUGCCGCGUGUGUGAUGAAGGCCCUAGGGUCGUAAAGCACUUUCGCCAGAGAUGGUAAUGACAGUAUCUGGUAAAGAAACCCCGGCUAACUCCGUGCCAGCAGCCGCGGUAAUACGGAGGGGGUUAGCGUUGUUCGGAAUUACUGGGCGUAAAGCGCACGUAGGCGGAUUAGUAAGUUAGAGGUGAAAUCCCAGGGCUCAACCCUGGAACUGCCUUUAAUACUGCUAGUCUUGAGUUCGAGAGAGGUAAGUGGAAUUCCGAGUGUAGAGGUGAAAUUCGUAGAUAUUCGGAGGAACACCAGUGGCGAAGGCGGCUUACUGGCUCGAUACUGACGCUGAGGUGCGAAAGUGUGGGGAGCAAACAGGAUUAGAUACCCUGGUAGUCCACACCGUAAACGAUGAAUGCCAGACGUCAGCAAGUAUACUUGUUGGUGUCACACCUAACGGAUUAAGCAUUCCGCCUGGGGAGUACGGUCGCAAGAUUAAA